UACGGAGGGUGCUAGCGUUGUUCGGAAUCACUGGGCGUAAAGCGCGUGUAGGCGGCCCAUUAAGUCUGAUGUGAAAGCCCGGGGCUCACCCCCGGAAGUGCAUUGGAGACUGAUGGGCUGGAGUCCCGGAGAGGAGGGUGGAAUUCCUGGUGUAGCGGUGAAAUGCGUAGAUAUCAGGAGGAACGCCGGUGGCGAAGGCGGCCCUCUGGACGGUGACUGACGCUGAGACGCGAAAGCGUGGGGAGCAAACAGG
Molecule: ribosomal RNA, 253 nt
Filed under: uncultured bacterium
Lineage: Bacteria
Description: partial 16S ribosomal RNA
Rfam family: Bacterial small subunit ribosomal RNA
Source: RNAcentral